Oncorhynchus keta (chum salmon) is the source of this 3226-nucleotide long non-coding RNA. RefSeq lists it as uncharacterized. Lineage: Eukaryota; Metazoa; Chordata; Actinopteri; Salmoniformes; Salmonidae. The record is from RefSeq and is a predicted model, not a curated record. The transcript has 5 exons.
CAGAGGUCACGCACAGAGCUGAUCCGGAAGAAGAUUUUAACCACGUUGUUUUGUUUUUGUCAGCGCGAGCUGGCUAACAUUUCGCUUUUAAUUCCUAACUAAUUGUUCUUCAGCCAUUGGGAAGUAAUUUGCUAAUUGUAAGUGCAAUAAAGAUUUUCCAUCCUGCAUCGAAGUCAAAUAUAUAAAAAGGCUGUUGGUGGGAGAUGAUCGUGUGAAGAAUGGUCUCAACCUUAUGUAUGAAGCUCCACCUGGGGCAGACAAAGGAAGGAGAAUCAGAAUACAAGUUUGAGUGGCAAAAGACGUCCCCUCGAGGGAAGUCCGUCGAUGCACCCCUCCGAGUUAAUGGCAGAGAUGCGAAACAGUGGGUUUGCCCUGAAGAAAUGUGUCCUUGGAAGAAAUUCUACUGUUUGUGAUCCAUCGCAGGUAAUCUUCUGUUCUUCUUCCCCGCAUGAAGAAAAAGACAACAAUAUCCAUGGCAGAUCCCCGGUCUAAAUGUGAUUGCUGCAAAAUGGCCAAUUAUCAGAGUAAACCACAGAGCUCUUCCAGUCGCUGCAAGUUUAGUCAAUUGGGCAGAUGUGAUGAGACUAACUGCUAAAAUUAUAGGAGUGUUGCAACACCAGAUGUAGCAGUAUAUAGUUUAACCCCCCCCCAAUAAUCUACCCUCAAACAGAAAUCAACAGAGGUUAUUCUGCUCUUACUUGCUUCACUUCCAACCAUUUGUGACGUCUUUAUUCAUGUUUUGUUAGCGUUUGAUGCAUGCUUUUUAAAAUGUUCAUUGUUUGAUUUAUUACGAAUUGUUUUUAUGCUGUCGGAGUACGUUGUCAAUGAAGAAGAGGAGGGUCCUGAGGUUGAAUUCCUGAAGUCGUUGACCACUAAACAGAAAGAGAAGCUCCUCAGGAAACUUGAGGGUCUACAAAAGAAGAGUGAAGGAAAUCAGAAGAAGGACCGUGAUAGUAGUGACAGCUCCAGUGAAAGUAGCAGCAGGGACUGACUGACAGCUCCAGUGAAAGUAGUAGCAGGGACUGACUGACAGCUCCAGUGAAAGUAGUAGCAGGGACUGACUGACAGCUCCAGUGAAAGUAGUAGCAGGGACUGACUGACAGCUCCAGUGAAAGUAGUAGCAGGGACUGACUGACAGCUCCAGUGAAAGUAGUAGCAGGGACUGACUGACAGCUCCAGUGAAAGUAGUAGCAGUGACUGACUGACAGCUCCAGUGAAAGUAGUAGCAGGGACUGACUGACAGCUCCAGUGAAAGUAGUAGCAGUGACUGACUGACAGCUCCAGUGAAAGUAGUAGCAGUGACUGACUGACAGCUCCAGUGAAAGUAGUAGCAGGGACUGACUGACAGCUCCAGUGAAAGUAGUAGCAGUGACUGACUGACAGCUCCAGUGAAAGUAGUAGCAGGGACUGACUGACAGCUCCAGUGAAAGUAGUAGCAGUGACUGAAUGACAGCUCCUGUGAAAGUAGUAGCAGUGACUGAAUGACAGCUCCUGUGAAAGUAGUAGCAGUGACUGACUGACAGCUCCAGUGAAAGUAGUAGCAGUGACUGACUGACUGACAGCUCCAGUGAAAGUAGUAGCAGUGACUGACUGACAGCUCCAGUGAAAGUAGUAGCAGUGACUGACUGACAGCUCCAGUGAAAGUAGUAGCAGGGACUGACUUACAGCUCCAGUGAAAGUAGUAGCAGUGACUGAAUGACAGCUCCAGUGAAAGUAGCAGCUGUGACUGACUGACAGCUUCAGUGAAAGUAGCAGCAGUGACUGAAUGACAGCUCCAGUGAAAGUAGCAGCUGUGACUGACUGACAGCUCCAGUGAAAGUAGUAGCAGUGACUGACUGACAGCUCCAGUGAAAGUAGCAGCAGUGACUGACUGACAGCUCCAGUGAACGUAGAAGCAGUGGCUGACUGACAGCUCCAGUGAACGUAGAAGCAGUGGCUGACUGACAGCCCUAGUGAAAGUAGCAGCAGUGACUCAGACUGACAGCUUCAGUGAAAGUAGCAGAGGUGACUGACUGACAGCUCCAGUGAAAGUAGCAACUGUGACUGACUGACAGCUUCAGUGAAAGUAGCAGCAGUGACUGAUUGACAGCUCCAGUGAAAGUAGAAGCAGUGGCUGACUGACAGCUCCAGUGAAAGUAGCAGCUGUGACUGACUGACAGCUCCAGUGAAAGUAGAAGCAGUGACUCAGACUGACAGCUUCAGUGAAAGUAGCAGCGGUGACUAAGAGUCUGAAGAGAAAGAAGAAAGGCAAGAGAAAGGACUCCUGUCGUGAUGACAACACUGAGAGUGAUGGAUGAGUCUAGAGUAAGACCAGGCCCAACCUCCAGACAGAAACAGCACAAAGAUGAUACCAGAGAGGAGAAAGAAACAGUAGAGAUGAGACACGACAGCAGGGAGAGGCAGAGAACCAGCAGCAGCUCCCAGCCUGGCCCAGACGGAAGGAGAGAGAUAUAAAGACAAGGUUCACAGUAGAGAUGAGGCAAACAGUAGAAGAGAGAUGGAUAGAAGUAGGAGCAGAGAUGGAGCAAAGAAUAAAGCAGCCGCAAAGGGAGGAGUAGGAUCCUAGAUGGAGGGAGGGAGAGAGGGGGAGGCAAAGGGAGGAGCAGGAGCAGAGGGAGGGAGAAUGAGAAAAGAGCCAGGGGGAGAGCUGAGAGAAAGCACUGAACUGUGAGAGUAGACAAUCUUACAAAUUGGGCCAGUGAUACCAUUUUAUUUUGCUGAUGUAAACAUUUUUGACACGUUUUGACGAUUUUACGAUGCUAUUGUUAAUAUGUACAUUUUUCUUGGUUGGCCCACUUAUUAAACAAACACAUAGAAACCAAAGUUUUAGUAACACCAUGUUUUGGUGUUGCAUGCUAGUUGGCUGCUACGGUCAAAUGAGUGCAGGGGCGUAUUCAUUAUGCCGAUUCUGUUGCAAAAUGUUGAGCAGAAGCAAACUGAAUGAAACCGGGAGGGGCCUACCUGAAUUUGACCAAUAGAAACUGUUCAAAAUGUUCCAUUUUGCUACUGUUAGGACUAGUGAUUACACCCCUGCUCCUCAAAUAGUUCUUAUUUUCAUCCACUAGAGGGCAGCAGUAGACCUAAAAUAACUUCAACCACAGAAAUAUUUUGCAUUUGUCAGAUUAUUGAACAACUGCAUGUCUUGCAAGCACUAUUAUUGAUGGUUGUCACUUUAGUCCAGAAAACCCUCUUCAGAAUUCUAAUAAAAAAUAUUAUUGCAACUCGA